GACGAACGCUGGCGGCGUGCUUAACACAUGCAAGUCGAACGGAAAGGCCCUGCUUUUGUGGGGUGCUCGAGUGGCGAACGGGUGAGUAACACGUGAGUAACCUGCCCUUGACUUUGGGAUAACUUCAGGAAACUGGGGCUAAUACCGGAUAGGAGCUCCUGCUGCAUGGUGGGGGUUGGAAAGUUUCGGCGGUUGGGGAUGGACUCGCGGCUUAUCAGCUUGUUGGUGGGGUAGUGGCUUACCAGGGCUUUGACGGGUAGCCGGCCUGAGAGGGUGACCGGCCGCAUUGGGACUGAGAUACGGCCCAGACUCCUACGGGAGGCAGCAGUGGGGAAUAUUGCACAAUGGGCGGAAGCCUGAUGCAGCAACGCCGCGUGCGGGAUGACGGCCUUCGGGUUGUAAACCGCUUUCGCCUGUGACGAAGCGUGAGUGACGGUAAUGGGUAAAGAAGCACCGGCUAACUACGU
Molecule: ribosomal RNA, 467 nt
Filed under: uncultured bacterium
Lineage: Bacteria
Description: partial 16S ribosomal RNA
Rfam family: Bacterial small subunit ribosomal RNA
Source: RNAcentral